Molecule: long non-coding RNA, 438 nt
Filed under: Phasianus colchicus (ring-necked pheasant)
Lineage: Eukaryota; Metazoa; Chordata; Aves; Galliformes; Phasianidae
Description: lncRNA (ENSPCLG00000002444.1)
Source: RNAcentral
AUGACUGAACAAGCUUUCUCUGUGACUGGACCUAGGUUAUCAUUAGUUCAGAGACAUAGUAGAACACAAGGUCUUCUUUACCACAAAAAGAUCCUAUGUUAUAGAUUGAAAAAAGUAAGGAUUUUUCUUCUUAUAGGAACUAAGAUAAGUGUCAGCUCACUACUUGCUUUAUGGUUCUAUCCUUUUCCCUGUUCUGCUUUCAGGUGCUACAGCAUGCUUACUGGGUCUGACUGUUAUAUAUCACAUUUUUACCAGCUGCUAAACAUGCAACUUAUAGAUAAUGAAGUCUGGAGUGUGGUCUCUGUAUACGAAGUGAUAAGCAGCCCUUACAGCAUCCUGUCACUUAAGCAGAGAGCUCAGAUUCUAAGAAAAUCUACUGUAAAGUAGGGGAAAAAAAGGAAGACAAUGCAGAAUAAAGCAAAUGAAUUUUUAAAGGCA